CAGCAGUAGCCGCGGGAAUACGGAGGGUGCAAGCGUUAAUCGGAAUUACUGGGCGUAAAGCGCACGCAGGCGGUCUGUCAAGUCAGAUGUGAAAUCCCCGGGCUUAACCUGGGAACUGCAUUUGAAACUGGCAGGCUAGAGUCUUGUAGAGGGGGGUAGAAUUCCAGGUGUAGCGGUGAAAUGCGUAGAGAUCUGGAGGAAUACCGGUGGCGAAGGCGGCCCCCUGGACAAAGACUGACGCUCAGGUGCGAAAGCGUGGGGAGCAAACAGGAUUAGAUACCCCUGUAGUCCCUGUCUCUUAUAC
This 304-nucleotide ribosomal RNA is filed under the name uncultured bacterium. Its description in RNAcentral is "partial 16S ribosomal RNA". It matches the Rfam family "Bacterial small subunit ribosomal RNA", at positions 506 to 807 of the family's 1533-position model. The record is from RNAcentral.